RNAcentral lists this long non-coding RNA (1478 nucleotides) under Salmo salar (Atlantic salmon). Its description in RNAcentral is "lncRNA (ENSSSAG00000091310.1)". Lineage: Eukaryota; Metazoa; Chordata; Actinopteri; Salmoniformes; Salmonidae. The record is from RNAcentral.
GUAAGUGGUUUAUUAUUUUUCAGUGUUUAUUGUUUGACAAACUUUUAACUGUGACAGUAAAUAUACAAUAUUAUGCAACCACGUGUUAAACAACAACAAAAAAUGUAAAUAAUUCAUGCGUGUUUAAAUCAAGAAGACUGUAAUUUACAAGCAAAAAGUACUUUAUUUCUUCAUCCGAGCGUUGUCGUAAAACUACGGUAGAUAUAGAGAAAGUCAACGUUACUGCAGUGUGAGUCACUUUGGCACACAUGUGCAGUGACAGUUGAUAAAAAGAUGCGAAUGUCCUGCGUGUACGCUGACUGCAUGUUAACCAGCCAGCCAGCAGACCGACCGCAGAUUGCAAAUCAAACACCAGUUGAUGAGUUUUUUAUGUUUGGGCACCACCGAGUUAAGGCUAUCUGUUUGAAAGCCUGCCAUCCAUUCCCAAUAUUCAGAGUAGGCUACCACUUCGGUCUUGUUAAAAAGGUAAAGUAGGCUAAACAGGAGAAUGAAUAUUUCUAUCAAAAUUGCUAUUGAUCAACAGGCCAAUCAUGGAAAACUGUAGCCAAUACAGUAGAUGCAAACUACUAGGCUAUUUUACAUAUCAACACGAUAUAAUCACAUCAGAAUAUCACUGAGUGCAUCAUCCUAUGUCAUUAUACCCGUCUAUCACUUCUUCAUCUCUUCGCCAGCAAUUUUUUUUCAUGUUGAAAUGGUAUCGUGACGCGUUCUGGGGUGAAGUCAAUUCUGCGUCAUUCCUGCGUACACGGAGACAACUUCCAAUCACCCAUCAGAAGACUUUAAAGAGACAGCACGAGGCGUGAAUAGGUUCCUCAACAGGAGUGCGAGCUCAACUCACCCUGCUCAGCUUGAGCAGAGCGAGGGAGAUGAGGGAGGGAAGUGAGAGGGAGCGCCAGCGCCUAGGGUGUCCUUUGAAAUCUCCUCGAGGAGGAAUGCCCACAUUCAGCUGUUUGUUUUCCUGCCAAUGUGCCAAAGGCCUCAACCAGCCCUCAGCCUCCCAACCCCUCCUCCCAGCUCCCAGCUCCCUGUCCCCAGCCUGUGGUCUCUGGUUGUGUCUGAAAUGGCACCCUAAUCCCUGCACCACAUAGGGAAUCGGUUGUGAUUUGGGACACAGCCUGCGUUCUCAGUCUUUAGGUCUGCAGCCAGAGGGCCAGAUGUGGCAGCAGGAUACAGUAGAUUGGUUCUGCCAAGGCCUUGCCAGCCCUGCCAGCCCUGCCCCAGGGCCUCAUAGAUAUAGAGAUAUCACCACACAUACGAGGCUUCAAGCAUUUUGGGCACAGUUAUGCCAUAUAACAUUGGGAAAAUUAGACAAUAAGGGAUAGUAUUACACUUCAUACAGUGGCAAUCUAUUUAUUUAAUCUAUUCUUUAAAUUUAGACUGAGUAUGCUUACAAUCAUAUUAUUUCCACAAUAGAUGAGAUACAACAUUAAAAAUGCUGCCACAAAUGCCAUGUUAACAUACCAAUUCAGCACAAAGAG